This 237-nucleotide non-coding RNA is filed under the name Elusimicrobiota bacterium. Lineage: Bacteria; Pseudomonadati; Elusimicrobiota. The record is from RNAcentral.
UGAUUCUAAAUUUAAAAUGAUGUAAAACAAUUUGACGAAAUAGGGAAUCCCGUGCUUGUCCAUCGACUUCGUAUAGUCGUUCAGGAUGAAAUUCGGGAACAGUCCCGCUACUGUGAUGGGUAUGUUCCAGUAUAUCGGAACGAGGAAUUUUUUGUGCCACUGGUCGCCAAGGCGAAUCGGGAAGGUGAAAUUCCUAUAAACCUAAGUCAGGAAACCUAUUCGUUAUUAAUCCCAUUU